Molecule: ribosomal RNA, 332 nt
Filed under: uncultured bacterium
Lineage: Bacteria
Description: bacterial SSU rRNA
Rfam family: Bacterial small subunit ribosomal RNA
Source: RNAcentral
UGCGUAGGUGGUUCGUUAAGUCCGUUGUGAAAUCCCUUGGCUCAACCAAGGAACUGCUUCGGAUACUGGCGAACUUGAGGCCGGUAGGGGUCACUGGAACAGACGGUGGAGCGGUGAAAUGCGUAGAUAUCGUCUGGAACGCCUGUGGUGAAGACGGGUGACUGGGCCGGAACUGACACUGAGGCACGAAAGCGUGGGGAGCGAACGGGAUUAGAUACCCCGGUAGUCCACGCCCUAAACGAUGCAGACUAGAUUGCAGCGGGUCUUACCCCGUUGCGGUCGGAGAAAAAUUGUUAAGUCUGCCACCUGGGAAGUACGGUCGCAAGGCUAAA